Molecule: transfer RNA, 69 nt
Filed under: Ictidomys tridecemlineatus (thirteen-lined ground squirrel)
Lineage: Eukaryota; Metazoa; Chordata; Mammalia; Rodentia; Sciuridae
Description: Spermophilus tridecemlineatus (thirteen-lined ground squirrel) tRNA
Rfam family: tRNA
About the family: Transfer RNA (tRNA) molecules are approximately 80 nucleotides in length. Their secondary structure includes four short double-helical elements and three loops (D, anti-codon, and T loops). Further hydrogen bonds mediate the characteristic L-shaped molecular structure. tRNAs have two regions of fundamental functional importance: the anti-codon, which is responsible for specific mRNA codon recognition, and the 3' end, to which the tRNAs corresponding amino acid is attached (by aminoacyl-tRNA synthetases). tRNAs cope with the degeneracy of the genetic code in two manners: having more than one tRNA (with a specific anti-codon) for a particular amino acid; and 'wobble' base-pairing, i.e. permitting non-standard base-pairing at the 3rd anti-codon position.
Source: Rfam by way of RNAcentral
GGGGUUGUGGCUCAGUGGUGGAGCACUUGCCUCCCACGCGUGAGGCACUGGGUUUGAUCCUCAGCACCA